Molecule: non-coding RNA, 105 nt
Organism: Mycena albidolilacea
Lineage: Eukaryota; Fungi; Basidiomycota; Agaricomycetes; Agaricales; Mycenaceae
Source: the annotation of a GenBank genome assembly
GCCCUCGUGGAUCAUGGUGGAUCACCUCAACAGCUUCAUGGGUGUUAUCAAAACUCUAUUGAGGAUGUGGUCUGUCAUGUGGAGGUUCGAAUCCUCCUGGGGGCA